Meleagris gallopavo (turkey) is the source of this 6897-nucleotide long non-coding RNA. RefSeq lists it as uncharacterized. The record is from RefSeq and is a predicted model, not a curated record. Lineage: Eukaryota; Metazoa; Chordata; Aves; Galliformes; Phasianidae.
GGAUGUUUUGUUUGUAAAUUUGUUUACUUGCUGUCUUUUCUUCUCUUUUCUCUUCAAUGUUCUGGAUGCUUAUUCCAAGGAGUUGAGUAAGGGAUCGUGUUCCUAUCUGUGUAUUGUAAUUAGUACAGCUAUUUAAAUGCUAUCUGGAUCCCAUUUAUUAUAUUUGUCAUUUGCUGUUUAGUUCAGUGGAAAUGCUUUUAUGUAAAUCAUGGAAAAAUGCUUCUGACUUGUAACAAGAUGGGGCUGAAUUUAGGAGACUGAAACUCUUCUUUCAGGAAUAAAAAGUGUCUUGCUGAACUAAGAAUGGAAGAUUAUAGUAGCUGCUUCUUGCUGAAAGUGCAUUAUGCUGGCAUAUGCACAUGUCCAAAUGGAAUUAGCUGUGGUACUCUAGUGGGAUACUUCCCAACAGUCCUAAAAAAAAAUAAUUUGGAGAAAGCUGUCACACAGGAAAUUUCCUCUCAACUUGCAUUGUUUGUUAAAUAUUCCUUACUUUUUUGGACUAGACUUCAAUUUUAUACAGGUUUCUAAGAUUUUUUAGCUGUACUUGGAAUAUUUGGAAUUGAGCACUUCAUAGGGAGGAGUCAAGUUGCUUCCCUUUACAUCCUACCAUGUCAUUUCUUAACUAAUGUGUUUCCUUCUGUGGCUAGGGGGAUACUUGCACUUCACAUUGAUCUAAUGGCUGUCAUAAUGUUUUUGGUUGCUUUUAGGUAUCUGUGGUUUUUUUGUCCUGAUCUUGGCUUGUCUAACAAGCACAUUCAGAUAAACACAACCCUCACCUUUCUCUUGUACAGACCUUUUUCUAUCUGCUGCUUUGGUUCUUGAACUUUUGAUUUGUUUAUUUUUUUUUUAAACAUUAGAAGUAAACAAUUAUUUCAUCGUUCAUAUAUAAGCAAGUCAUCUAUUUUGUGCUGUUUGGUGUGUUUUUCUUUCCCCGUAAGAUGAGCUUCUGACAUGCUAACUGAAGGAAGAUUAAUAAAUUGUGGCUUUUAUUUGUGUCUCUUAGUUUUCAGCCUGGAGUGUGAGCUUGUGUGACUUUGCUCUGUCAUAAAUACUGUGUUAAAUUACAGCAAUUAUUUUUUUAAGAAACUUUGAUUUUUUGCCAGGGAUUCCUGAGCCAUCUAGUAAUAGUUUCAGGGAUCCUAUUCCUUCUCUGAAAAUCAGUGCCAAUUUUGGACUGUGCAGCUGUCCCAGUUUCCUUUUCAUUAAUUUUUACUGUAGGAAUAAAUAUUUGUUAUCUGAUGUUUAUUAUAUUAGCUUAUUAAACAUCAGUUAUUUCGUUUUUUAAGGGAUAUUGGUUUCUUUUCUUUCUUUCUUUUUUUUCCCCCUAUUUAAAACAAACAAACAAAAGAAGAAUAUAUCAAUCAGAAGAGAUCUGGAUAUGAUGGUAGAGCAGUAUGAAGUGUUAUUUAUCUGCCUAUUCCAGAAAUGAUCCUUCUGUUAUUCCAUACAGUACUGCAUAGCUUUUGGCUCAGCUGGUCUGCAUAAUAAGGGAGAGUCUCUGUUAAGCCAAGCAACUUCUUUUGCAGUGAAGAGCAUGUAAGGUAUGCAUGGCAGUAGAUUAUCACAAUUAUCAAGUAUCAGUACUGACUUAGUAUUUGUCCCUGGCCUUUUCUAGUGUAGCGUAAGGAAAGCCUGUCUUGUGCCUGCUCUUCUCUCUGUGAAGAAUUUUGGAGUUAAUAGUUUAUUAAUAGUUUGUGUUCCGCAUAGAUCAUCACAGAUUUGCUCUUUGUUCUUGAUCUUAAGUUUUUGUUUUUUCAGUUUUAUGUGACAUGGUAGUACUUUUACUACUCAGCUCUGCCAGAUAGUGUUUGAAGCAGACACCUUUCACAGUGUUUGGAUUUUGAUGGCGUAAGUUCUUUUUUUUAAAAAAAAAAAAACAACAACAGAAAGGAAAAGAAGCUUUUUGCAUGCUUAACCCAUUAAUCAGCUUUUACAGAGCGUGGAGGUAUUUUUUAUCUUUAAUUAUGAGAAUUUGUGUCUUGGCCAAUAGCUGUGUAGGACUUGAGUUAACAUACCAAACUGGCACUUUGUUGUCUUCUGUGUUUUUGAGCUCUUACAGUAAAUAAUGGAGGAGGUGGCGUUUGGGAAAUCCUAGUGAAAGAAAACUUUACAUGUUUUGAUUUUAACUGCCUUUUAAAUGUAAUGGGGGCAUAAAUGUUAAUUCAGCUGUACUGUAACGUGUUUUGAAAAUAGUAACAUAACUUGCAAAUGGAGUAACUGACUUUCUUUUAGUAUCUUAAUUCUAUUUCCAGGCUUCUGUUUCUUCCCAAUUGUGUACUUUUAUGAGUGAGCAGUGGAGUUGUUGAAGGGUAUUUCCAGACGAGAUCAACUGUCAGAAUUAGAAGUCUGCAUGCAGUUACAGGGUUCUGACUUCAUUGGGAUCAUUCUCAGCCUUGAGAGUUGAUGUCUGUAUUUGAACAAAUUCCUUUUUAAUGAGAAGGGCUGAGAAGGAAGCUUCUCAUAAGAAAAAUGAUUUCUGCUGUCUUCUUGUGAUGCACCUGGUACUAGAUUUUCUGUGAAAGAUGGGCUACAUUGGAGACUUGUACUGUAGAGUGAGAAUCACUGCUUGACUAGGUUUGAUUUUAUUUAUUUUUUGCUACAGAAGAGAGCAGCUGGCUAAGAUCUGUGGAAGUCAUGUUUCCAGCUCUGCUUCUUUUUUGCUGAUGCCUUGUGUUGAACUCUUCCUGGAGGAUGAAAUGUGUCUUGGCACAUUUAUUGCCAUCUGCUGUUUGUCUCUGUUGAUAAGGCUUAGUUAGCAGUUUCCCUAGGAAAGUGCAUGACAUAGUUUCAAAAGCUGCUACGAUUACCUGUUGCUGUGGGAAUAGAUGGCCCUGUUCUAAGUGCUCAACUUUUCCAGCUGGUGGAUAUCGUUACUGUUUCAGAUGACUAAUAUGAAAAAUGAUAAUUGAAGCUAAAGGACUAUUACGUAGUAAGCUUUAAUUAGUUGAACUGUUUCAUACUUGUUUACCGUGGGUGCUAAUGCUCUUGAAAUUAAUUGGCAUUAACGGGGGUUCAAAGUUUAUAUGCAAUCGUUACGGUUAUAAUGUGUUAGAUUACUAGGUAACUUGGCUUAUUAGGUGAUUUCAUUCCCGAUUAUUGCUGCAAGUUAACAAUGCCAGAGCAAUUAUCUUACAAACACUGGAGUUGCUCACAAGGCAUAUGCAUCCAGAAUCUUCCCGUGGAGUUCAGAUGCCUGCUGUACUCUCUAGCUAAUAGGCAAGGGAAGGUGAUCUGUGUAUGUCAUCCAGCAGCAGAUGGGGAAGAUUUUUUGAAAAUGGGGUAGCACACUUUCAGUCCUUCUAUAAUGCUAAUAAAGUUUUUGUGUGAGAAUGAUAACGGUGUCAGUAGCCCUAAUCUAUCAAUGACAUCAACUUCUGGCAUGUACAAGCAAUCAAAGCAAACAUGGAAUGCCUUUGUGUGCAUAGCUGGACGGUAUAAACCAGUUGCUACUGGAGUGAAGAGAGAAGGUCAUCUCUCAUUUUCCACAAACAGACCAAAUAUCUAGAGUACACAUUCAUUAAACUCUUCUUGAACAGAAAUUAUGACUUGAUUAUAAUGUGAAUUUUUCCGUCUUGGAAUGUAUGGACUCGACAGGAUUUUCACCCCUAAAUAAUUGUGCUGUUGUAUGUUAUUGGCAUACUGUAGUGUAGCUUAUAUCAGACUACAAGUGUCUGAUAGAAGAAAUAACAAAUUCACUGGAUUAUUAUUACCUAUUAAAUAAAAAGUACUAUUAAGCAACAUAUACUUAAUUUUAAUUAAUUUUAAGUAAAUCUGAGGUUAGGUAUUGUAGGUGUCAUAUCAGAAAUCAGUUACAAGUGAAGAUGACUUUGUUUUUAGAGUGGAAAAAGAGAAAAUUACAAUGGCAAAAACUGUGGAUUAGUAGUGUAACUGGAAAGUACCAAAGUCUGCUCCUUGCUGAUCACUCUCCAAAAUGCCACCAGGAGAAGAUUUAGGUGCUGAGUCUUCAGAUUCUGAGUCACUAGAGCUCUUUAAUUUUUUCUCUCUGUCCCAUAUUCUUAGUCUCUACUUUAAGCCUGUAAGUUUAACAGAUUCAGGAGCUUAUGUUGUAGAUGGACGUGUUUCAUGUAUUAAUUUUGAAGAUGUCACUCUCUUUGAGGUGAAAAGGAUGGAUGCAUGGUAGGCUGCUUAGUAUGUUCUAUUAAAGGCAUCUGUGGAAUUUUACAGUGGGUAGUUCUUUGUAGUUAUAGCAAUUUUGCACUUUUUAAGUAGUAUGAGCUUACAGAUUGGAAUCUUGGAUAUGUACCUACAUUAUAAAAAUGUUAAACACUGAUGUACAUACAGUGGGUCAAAGUAAUGGAAUGGUUCUGAAGAAAGGAUUUCACGUUGAGUAUUUUUAGCUGUGAAGCCUAUUGGCUAGGGACUUUUUUAUGCUUUAGUAUUUACAAUUAUGAUACUUAAUUCUCUUCUGUAAGAGGCUGGUUACCCAGAAUCAAAAAGAUGAGAUGAAGAGUGCAGAAAAAAUACUCUCACGACUUUUUCAUAACUGUUACUCUUCAGGUGAGGAGUUAGAUGUGAAACUAUAGAACUCUGGGACCUCAUUCAGACGGAACCUGAGAAGAGAGAGAGGGAGAGAGAGAGAGAGAGAGAGGGACUUAAAUACUUGUUUCAGUUCUUUUACACUUACUUUUCAGUAAGGAAUAAAAAAUAAGAAUACUUUGUUAAAUCAUUACAGGGUAGAUGUGAUACUUCUAUCAAAUGUAUCUAUUUGAUAACAGAGAAUUCCUCAGGAGUGGAUUCAUUUUGGUAUUUCAGCCUUGAAACCAAGCUUGCAUGUUCAAGUCUACUAAAAUUGUUGGUGUCAUGUGUCUAAUAACCCAUCUGCUUGAAUGAUGAUAAAGCCUCCUACUUAGUCUGUCUGCCUCGAGGGAAUAAUCUAGGAGCCAUCAUGACAGUACUGCUGCGAGCCAACAAAGUAUUUUUUUUUUUUUUUUUUUCCUUCCACAGGAGUUUCCUUUGAAACAUAAAUUAAGACAGCAGUGGUAGGAACCUGAAACCUUUAGGGAACAUAUCUUUAGAAUGUCUGACCAUAUAUAAUUUAUAGACAUGAUGAGGAACAAAUACCUAUCAGAUUGGCUGUCAGGGCUACUGAAAGUAAAACAACAACAACAACAAGACAAACAAACAAAAAAAAACCUGUCAUGUCCCACUCUGUUCUUUCCUUCUGUCACCUUAUUUAAAAUGGAGCCAUAUAAGAUUAUAUGAUGUGUGAUUUCUGGGGGCUGAGUUUAAUGACAGUCGCGUAUUUCUUAAAUCUUUUUUUGCCAUGCAGUGGACUGUAUGACACUUCAUUUUUGUUCCACUAAGUUUUGAAGCAGUUGUAUGGAUUUCGUGCUGUGGCAGAGAACAACAGCCAGUAAGAAAAGCCAAGAUUCAAAAUAAUUUGUGUGCCUGAUGCCCCAAAUGUGAUUCAACUUGACAUCUAUAAUUCAUCUCUUUCCUUUUAUUACUGUCUUACAAGUCCUCUUACAUGAUUAGUGUCUUGUGUUUGUUGGUCAAAAUUUAGGGUCACUGCAGUUGGCAGCAUCAAUGAGCCAUAUUUCAGUUCUUAGUUCAUGAGAAAGAAGUUGCAUGGAGAUGGUGAGUUUUCCUCUCAUUUGUGAUAAAUCAGUGUCAUAUGUCUUGCUUUUAAAAUCUUUGUCUUUACACAGCCUGGAGCUACAGGCUUGAAGUAGAGCCUAUUUAGUAAAAGGGGGGCCACAAAAGUGAUGAAAGUAUUGGUGCCCCUUUCCCGUGAGAGACACACAACUUGGGAAAUUACAGGUGGGACUGGAUGUGUAUAUGAACGUUUGACUCCUGCUUGCAAAAUGAUGAUAAUUCACAGUCAUGUCAGUGGCCAAGUAUGUUCUAGUUUGACGAUCUUGAGCUAGUGGGUCUCUGAAGAGGUGGCGCCCUAAUCUUGAUAGACUAUGUCUUUUCUGAUGAGAGAAGACAUGGUAUAAUUCUGUCUGGAACUAGGUGGAAGCCCUUAACGUGUAAUCAUGAUAAGUCUUCAAUGGAAAAACAACAACAACAACAACAACAAAAAAAAAAAAAAAAAAAACACAACCAACCAAAAAGAAAACAACUGGUGAGGGUUUCAGUGGGCUAUGUUAUCCAAAAUAGUUGUCAGAAGCAGUGCUUUUUGUAACAGUAUUAACUGCUUGAGCAAACUUAGCUGUAACAGAACAAGAAGAAAAUCCUAAAAGUGCUAAGAGGAGUUAAAGGAGAAGAAAAUCUGGGUAACAGAACCUGGAUGAUGAAAGCUGGUUAUGGGGAGGAAGUUGAGAAGCCAGUGUUCUUUGCUGAGACAAUGCUGGGGAGAAACGGAGGUAAAUGUCAGCCAUACUAAGUUGGGCAUCUGCACUUUUUUCUAUGGAAUAAAUUGUUUCUCUUUGAUUCAGAUGCCAUGCACAGCGACAGCAGGGAGGUGUGGAAAACUGGGCUUAAGCAGAUGUAUCUUUGUGUAGAAGGUUGAAUUGCAAGGAGGGGACCCUGUGAGACUGGUGGCUGAGCAGUACUGUGCCUGAGGGCUGCAUUGUCCCACUGAGAAUGUGAAGAAAUUGAAGAAGCAACUUGUGCAAGAGGUCUCUUGAAGAGAUUGUGCAGUAGCUCUGUCCUGCCCAAGAGACUCCAUCUCUCCUCAGCACACUCAGACUACACUGUCUUCUCCAUAGUGGAUCUGAUCACACAGGCAUGGAGAGAUGGGCCUCAUGGAGUCCACAGGUGAUCCACUUAUAAUCCUAGUAACUGUACAGUUCACAGUGGACUGGAAGGACAGAUCUUUUUUCAUUCCUCAGAGAGGCUUGAGGGCCUGAGCUCAAUCCAGAAAAAAGAAAACCAAGGUUUCUCUUACUCCAGCUAUGGUCAAAACCUAGAAUAAAGUUAUUUUGUUUGUUU